Ornithodoros turicata is the source of this 206-nucleotide long non-coding RNA. RefSeq lists it as uncharacterized. The transcript has 3 exons. Lineage: Eukaryota; Metazoa; Arthropoda; Arachnida; Ixodida; Argasidae. The record is from RefSeq and is a predicted model, not a curated record.
GUUGAAGGCUCUUGAACUUGUGUCAGAUAUAUGUGGUUCCACGGAAGAAACUGCAGCGUGUGCAAGCUGCCAGGAAAAAAACAAAAGGAUAGAUGACCUCGAAUAUGCAAAUUCUAGGCUUUCAAAAAAACUUCGAAAAGCAAAGGAAAAGUGUGAAAUGACCAAGAUGAUGGGGAAAAUGGAAGACAUAAUAGCAGCAGCAUCAU